Molecule: long non-coding RNA, 1596 nt
Organism: Sapajus apella (tufted capuchin)
Lineage: Eukaryota; Metazoa; Chordata; Mammalia; Primates; Cebidae
Exons: 4
Source: RefSeq, a predicted model, not a curated record
GAGCUGAUGAUAACCCUCCUUUAUCAUCAGCUCCUACAGCAAAGGCAGAGAGGCCCUGGAACCGUUACAGAUCCCUGCUCCAACAAGAGUGGCAAUUCCAACAACAACAAAUCACACAAUAUACGAACUCUACAACUGUCAGGUUAAAAAACAUCAUCAUGUAAAGAAAACUAAAGUGUCAUGUGACUCUCUUUGACCUUUGUGGAAAUUGUUUCAUCCUUGCUACAGGAAGAAAAUCAGCAUUUAGCAUGGCUGAGAUGAGGACAUUGAGGUGCAGUUUGGUCAAGAGACUUACUUGCUCAAGAUCUCCCAAGUCGCUUGCAUCAACUUGCUGAUCAUGUGAGUGAGGCACCCUACGAGUGGAUAUGCCACCUCCCAUCAAGUCUUCAGAUGAAAGCAGCCUUAGUGGACAACUUGACUGCAACCUCAUGAAAGAUUUUGAAUUCGAACAGUUCAGCUAAGCUGCUUCCAAACUUCUCACCCACAGAAACCGUGAGAGAUUCUAAAUAUUUACUGUUUUGGUCACUAAGUUUUCCAAUAAUUUGUUAUGUAGCAAUGGAUGGUAACUACAGGCAGGCGGUGAGUCUAGAACAAAGUGAGCUUUGGAGGAAUGCUGAGAAUUAGGUUAGAGAGGGAGCACAUGUUAAUAUCAUAUACGGCUUUGUAGUUUAUGAUAAGGAAUUUGAAUUUAUUCUGAAUCUGAUGGAAAAUCAUUGAAGGAUUUUGCUCACAGAGGCAGCAUUAUGUUUUUAAAAUAUCAUCUAGACCACUGAAUAGACAACCAAACAUGGGCACAAGAGCACAGGCAGGGAGACCUAUUAGGUAUCUAUGUGGUUUAUCCAUGUAAAAUGUGGUAGUAGCAUGGACUUUUCAGGCUCUGUUUGAAUGGUUCAAUCAAUGGAAUUUUCUGAUAGAUUGGGUGUGAGAUUUGAGAAAGUAAAAAGUCAAGGUGAAUUCAAGUUUUUUUUUUUUUUUUUUUAAUAUCAGAAACUGGGAGGAAAAGAUGUCUUUUGUGGAGGUGUGGGUCAACAGUGGUGUUGACCACUGGUGGUAGUAGGGGCAGAUUUGAAGGUUAGAGAAUGCCGUAUUUAGAGAUCAGUAAGAGGAAGAGGAGCCAUCCAUGAAGACUGAGAAGGAAUAUCCAGGGAGGUAGGAAGAAAAUCAGGAGAGUGCACAGAUCUAGGAGCCAUGGUAAGAAAGGGCUUAAAGAAGGAGGAGUAAAUAACUAGAUGAGAGUGUUUUAGUAAGAUGAGCUAUGAAAACUAAGCCCUGAAUUUGGCAUAGUGAGGAUUGUUGCUAAACUUAGGAACAACAAACCAUCUUGCAGAUACACUUAUAAAUUCAUUAACCACAAAGCAUAUUUUGCUAGGUCUUCUUUUCUAUGCUAUACGAAAACAAAUGCAGCCUCAACUAUUUGUCCCUCAUCUGUCAAGUUUACAUAGUGAUCUUCAUUUUGUGAAUCUCCUUCAUAUCAACUGAUUUAUCAAUGGCACCUGAAUCUUCACCCUUGGAGAACUGUAGUUACUAAAAACCUGUCUUGCAUUGAAAGUUAAGAAUCUAAGUGUCAAUUUUUGCUUUUGUUGCAAUGCUUUUGGG